Molecule: ribosomal RNA, 253 nt
Filed under: uncultured bacterium
Lineage: Bacteria
Description: partial 16S ribosomal RNA
Rfam family: Bacterial small subunit ribosomal RNA
Source: RNAcentral
UACGGAGGGGGCUAGCGUUGUUCGGAAUUACUGGGCGUAAAGCGCACGUAGGCGGCUUUGCAAGUGACGGGUGAAAUCCCUCGGCUUAACCGAGGAACUGCCUGUCAGACUGCAUGGCUUGAGACCAGGAGAGGUGAGUGGAAUUCCCAGUGUAGCGGUGAAAUGCGUAGAUAUUGGGAGGAACACCAGUGGCGAAGGCGGCUCACUGGACUGGUACUGACGCUGAGGCGCGAAAGCGUGGGGAGCAAACAGG